GAGACACCCUUCUGGGGCAAGACUUGCUUCAGUGGGGCUUUGGUGCUCACUGUGUCUGCCCCCUGAGUGUGUCCCU
Non-coding RNA from Myotis lucifugus (little brown bat), 76 nucleotides. The record is from Rfam. NCBI's taxonomy places the organism in Eukaryota, Metazoa, Chordata, Mammalia, Chiroptera, Vespertilionidae.